Molecule: ribosomal RNA, 157 nt
Filed under: Bipolaris heveae
Lineage: Eukaryota; Fungi; Ascomycota; Dothideomycetes; Pleosporales; Pleosporaceae
Description: 5.8S ribosomal RNA
Rfam family: 5.8S ribosomal RNA
About the family: 5.8S ribosomal RNA (5.8S rRNA) is a component of the large subunit of the eukaryotic ribosome. It is transcribed by RNA polymerase I as part of the 45S precursor that also contains 18S and 28S rRNA.
Source: RNAcentral
UUUCAACAACGGAUCUCUUGGUUCUGGCAUCGAUGAAGAACGCAGCGAAAUGCGAUACGUAGUGUGAAUUGCAGAAUUCAGUGAAUCAUCGAAUCUUUGAACGCACAUUGCGCCCUUUGGUAUUCCAAAGGGCAUGCCUGUUCGAGCGUCAUUUGUA